ACAAAGUUGAAAGUGGAAUCAACCAAUUAGUACGUGUUUGGUGCAGGCAGGGAGGGGAAAUGGGGGCAGAGGAGGAGUAAAUGAUGUCGUGGUGGGAUAAAUAACAGAUGAGAGGUAAGAAGAAGGGGAAAAAAGAUAAACUAUUUAGUUCAAACCAGAAAACAAAAUGCAUUUGUGUAUGACACACAAGGAGUUCAAUCAUCUGUAUAUAAGUGUGGCUCGUUGGUCUAGGGGUAUGAUUCUCGCUUUGGGUGCGAGAGGUCCCGGGUUCAAAUCCCGGACGAGCCCUUUUUUCCCCCAACCGCACUGCUUUUGUUUUUCUUCUCUGCAACGUAUAAUGUAAGUAAAUCAAACUUUUCUGGUACUCUACUCCUUCCUGCUAAAAGGAAACUAAGCUUUAACAGAGAUAUUACUGAGAACAAAGGGAAAGUACUGGGGGACCUCGUUACUAGACCCAGAAUGACUCUAUUUCAAGGUCGUCCACUCCAGCCAGCCUGCCAGCCUCCUUCAUAAUUGAAAGCCUGCUGUGUCUCUAGCCCAUUGCGAGUUACCGCUCGUCUCCACGGCUGAAUACAAUCUUUUACAGCCCUCUGCUGCCCCCUGGAGGUAUUCCGGGAAUAAGCUCCCGGACUUCGACAGCGGUUUCCAUUUCGCUGAUUAGGAGCCCGAAAGCCCAAAGCAAUCCCUCUCAGCCAUACCAGAGCCACUCCCACACUGGGGCGAGCAAGGGAGCAGGGAGUUUCCAAGUGUUAGGCUGGGAAAGAGGGCGCGUCUCCAGACUGAAAGCCAAUGAGCCGAGCCCAAAAGACCACAUUUCGUACAUAGCUUGUCUUCCUUGGCUUGUCCCUUUUUGGAUUAUCUUGGCCAUUUUUCUCCACUCUGAGCCUAGCACGGUAGCCAACUCAUAGUAAGAGCCCAUUGAUUUCUUAUCAAGAACGAGUGCCUGGUGAUAGAAUCUUUUGUUAAUUCUUUUGUUAAUUCUUCAUCUCCCGUUUUCAUUUCAUAGAUUUUCAGUUCUAAAAGGAACCCUUCUUAAGAGUUCAUCUCCCCAUUUCCGCAUUACUGGAGGACGAAACAGGCCUGUUGCUCAACAUCACACAGUGAGUUACUCUUUCUUGUUGUUGUUGCUGUUAUCUGGGGAAGGGGUAGGGAGGGAUAUAAAAGUCUUUGACU
This 1173-nucleotide transfer RNA is filed under the name Phascolarctos cinereus (koala). RNAcentral's name for it is "lncRNA (ENSPCIG00000032286.1)". The stretch from base 217 to 288 matches the Rfam family "tRNA". The record is from RNAcentral. Lineage: Eukaryota; Metazoa; Chordata; Mammalia; Diprotodontia; Phascolarctidae.